This is a long non-coding RNA of Drosophila grimshawi, 328 nucleotides long. RefSeq lists it as uncharacterized. The transcript is spliced from 3 exons. Lineage: Eukaryota; Metazoa; Arthropoda; Insecta; Diptera; Drosophilidae. The record is from RefSeq and is a predicted model, not a curated record.
CAGUCAGAAGACUCAAUUUAAUACCGAAACGAAAGCCAAUUCAAGGCUCAAUCGCAUUAAGAAGCAAUUUCAUUUAACUCUUUGGGGACACAGAUGGAUCUCAUUUUAAACGAGACUCAAAUAAUAAUCCUAGGAAGUAACCGGAGCGACUAAGAUUCCGUUGUUUCAAACCAUUCUAAUGAAAUGACAUUUGUAAUAUCCAAAUUUUCUGAUAUUGAGUUCCCAGGAUCAAUGCAUGAAGAUCAACAGACAGUAGAAGAUCUGCAGCUUAUCGGAAUACAGAAGAAUUUUAUGAUAUAUAAAUGCAGUAGAUAUAUUUUUUUCUGAA